RNAcentral lists this long non-coding RNA (1477 nucleotides) under Marmota monax (woodchuck). Lineage: Eukaryota; Metazoa; Chordata; Mammalia; Rodentia; Sciuridae. The record is from RNAcentral.
GGGUGAUGGGAGCUGGCAGCUGGCAGCUGGCAAGCUGGCAAGGCAAGGUGUCCGUCCCCCUUCUAGGCAGAGCUGUGUGUGCACGUGUGUGUGCGCGUGCGCGUGUGUAUGUGUGCAUGCAUUGAGCUCCUUGACAUUUACAGCGUUUGGUGAGUCAGCAGCUGGAGCCUUGCAACCAGCCCUGUGUCACAACAUUAUCAGAGACUUGAGGAAACUGGAUGGAGUUCAGAGAGGAGCAGCAAGUACGAUUAAAGGGCUUGGAGGGAUUAAGGGAUUGAUUUAUGAGGAAAGAUGAAAAGAACUUAAUGUGCGCUGCUUGACUAAGUGGGUACAUGAUAAUAGCCUGCAAAUAUCUGAAGGGUAUAAACACCGGAGAGGGAGAGGAAUUAGCACAGGGUGAGGAAACUGAUCCAGGAAUAAUGGGGGAAAUUAACAAGGGGAGGAUGGAGUGCAUUGGCACAGCAUUAGCAGGGAUGUGGCCUUCUUCAGUCUUUCCCUUUCAGAAAUUUGCAGUGGGGGAGGUGAGUUGGCUUGGGGCUAUCAAACUGUAGGAGGUGCUGUGGAUUCUCCUAAUACGGGUGGGUAGAGGCAGAACGUUUGCGUGUCAACCGUGAUCAGGACCUAGCCUAGGAGCUGUGCUGACCUGUACAACCAGGCUGGGAACCUGGAGACAACAAGGAAGGGUGGGGUUGGAAAUGAGGGAAUGGAGAUGGUCUGCAUGAUGAGAUCUAGGCCCUUUCUUAAAUCUCUCCUCCUCCUGGUAGUUUUUCUGGGCUGAUGCAACAGACACUGCCAUUCUGUCUGUUGGGUGUCCGAUCUUGCUUGAGAUGUGAACUUUCUAUCCCCAUUGUCUUCCAGUUUUCCAGUUACCUUCCUGUCCCCAAUUCCUAAAAUGCAUCUGUCCUCAACAUGUCUGUGAUGUUUAUUUCUUUCUGUGGAUCUCAGAUUGAGAGACCAUAUGUGGACUGCAAAGAGGAUAGGAAAGGAAGUCAGGCUGCCAGGGGGGUAGAAUCUGGCUUCAUUCUUCCCAGCUGGGUGAAUGGGCCCAGUUACUCAUGAAUUCUCUGGGCCUGAGUUUUCUCUUCUGCAAAAAAGAGAUGAUGGCAGGAGUCUUCUGGUGAUUCCCAUGCUUCCUUGAAAUACUGUGUCAGUUGCCUUUUUUUUUGUGACUGCGACCAAAAUACCCUAUAAGAGCAACUUAGAGGAAGAAAAGUUUAUUUCAGGUCAUGAUUUCAGAGGUUUAGUCUAUGGCCGGCUGAUUCCAUUACUGUGGGCCAGAGGUGAGGCAGAACUCCAUGGCAGAAGGACAUGGUGGAGAAAAGCAGCCCAGGACAUGAUAGCCAGGAAGCAGAGCUUGAGUGCAAGGAGCCAGGGAUAAUAUAAUUCCCAAGGGCACGCCCCAGUGACCUAGUUCCUCCAGCCAAGCAUUACCUGCCUAUAGUUACCACCCAUUAGACCAUUCAAAUUACUAAUCCAC